RNAcentral lists this ribosomal RNA (613 nucleotides) under Naganishia uzbekistanensis. RNAcentral describes it as "eukaryotic LSU rRNA". It matches the Rfam family "Eukaryotic large subunit ribosomal RNA", at positions 52 to 653 of the family's 3401-position model. The record is from RNAcentral. Lineage: Eukaryota; Fungi; Basidiomycota; Tremellomycetes; Filobasidiales; Filobasidiaceae.
GGAGGAAAAGAAACUAACAAGGAUUCCCCUAGUAACGGCGAGUGAAGCGGGAAGAGCUCAAAUUUGAAAUCUGGUAGCCUUCGGCUGCCCGAGUUGUAAUCUAGAGAAGUGUUUUCCGUGCCGGCCCAUGUACAAGUCCCUUGGAACAGGGCGUCAUAGAGGGUGAGAAUCCCGUCCUUGACAUGGACCCCCGGUGCUUUGUGAUACACUUUCAACGAGUCGAGUUGUUUGGGAAUGCAGCUCAAAAUGGGUGGUGAAUUCCAUCUAAAGCUAAAUAUUGGCGAGAGACCGAUAGCGAACAAGUACCGUGAGGGAAAGAUGAAAAGCACUUUGGAAAGAGAGUUAAACAGUACGUGAAAUUGUUGAAAGGGAAACGAUUGAAGUCAGUCAUGCUCUUUGGAUUCAGCCGUUCUGCGGUGUAUUUCCAUUGAGUGGGGUCAACAUCAGUUUUGAUCGCUGGAUAAAGGCACUAGGAAGGUAGCACUCUCGGGUGAACUUAUAGCCUAGCGUCAUAUACAGUGAUUGGGACUGAGGAACGCAGCAUGCCUUUAUGGCCGGGAUUCGUCCACGUACAUGCUUAGGAUGUUGACAUAAUGGCUUUAAACGACCCGUC